CCUACGGGAGGCAGCAGUAGGGAAUCUUCCACAUUGGGCGAAAGCCUGAUGGAGCAACGCCGCGUGAGCGAAGAAGGUCUUCGGAUCGUAAAGCUCUGUUGUAAGGGAAGAACAAGUGCAGUAGUAACUGGCUGCACCUUGACGGUACCUUACUAGAAAGCCACGGCUAACUACGUGCCAGCAGCCGCGGUAAUUACUGGGCGUAAAGAGCGUGUAGGCGGUUGAU
This 226-nucleotide ribosomal RNA is filed under the name uncultured bacterium. RNAcentral's name for it is "partial 16S ribosomal RNA". It matches the Rfam family "Bacterial small subunit ribosomal RNA", at positions 338 to 583 of the family's 1533-position model. The record is from RNAcentral.